ACUCAAAGGAAUAGACGGGGGCUCACACAAGCGGUGGAGCAUGUGGCUCAAUUCGAAGCAACGCGCAGAACCUUACCUGGGUUUGACAUACAUGGAUUAGCUGGUGGAAACAUUAGUGAGGCCCGCAAGGGUACAACAUGAACAGGUGCUGCAUGGCUGUCGUCAGCUCGUGCUGUGAAGCGUCGGGUUAAGUCCCUUAACGAGCGCAACCCCUGUCGUUAGUUACUAACAGGUAAUGCUGAGGACUCUAGCGAGACUGCCGGUGUCAAACCGGAGGAAGGCGGGGAUGACGUCAAGUCCUCAUGGCCCUUACAUCCAGGGUUGCACACGUGCUACAAUGGUGCGUACAAAGCGAUGCAAGACCGCGAGGUGGAGCAAAUCGCAAAAAACGCACCCCAGUUCGGAUUGCAGGCUGAAACCCGCCUGCAUGAAGCCGGAAUCGCUAGUAAUCGGGGAUCAGCUACGCCCCGGUGAAUGUGUUCCUGAGCCUUGCACACACCGCCCGU
Molecule: ribosomal RNA, 506 nt
Filed under: uncultured bacterium
Lineage: Bacteria
Description: partial 16S ribosomal RNA
Rfam family: Bacterial small subunit ribosomal RNA
Source: RNAcentral